Molecule: ribosomal RNA, 253 nt
Filed under: uncultured bacterium
Lineage: Bacteria
Description: partial 16S ribosomal RNA
Rfam family: Bacterial small subunit ribosomal RNA
Source: RNAcentral
UACGUAGGGUGCAAGCGUUAAUCGGAAUUACUGGGCGUAAAGCGUGCGCAGGCGGUUGUGCAAGACCGAUGUGAAAUCCCCGGGCUCAACCUGGGAAUGGCAUUGGUGACUGCACGGCUAGAGUGUGUCAGAGGGGGGUAGAAUUCCACGUGUAGCAGUGAAAUGCGUAGAGAUGUGGAGGAAUACCGAUGGCGAAGGCAGCCUCCUGGGCCAACACUGACGCUCAUGCACGAAAGCGUGGGGAGCAAACAGG